AGAGAAUUCAGUACCUUUGUAUUUCGUAACAGCAAACAGACGGCGGGAUUAGAUAUCCGACAAUUGAGUGAUUAUUAUUUAUUAUUACCGUCAUCGUAUAUAUGACGAAAUUCAUAACAUGUUUUGUUGAAUUUCUGUUGCCACAACAGAAAUUGCACAUUUUCAAGAUUUCAUUGAAAUGUCAAACAAGUACCUCUUCAACAGAUUAGACGACAAUGCAAACGUAAAAGUUCGAUACAUACAGAGAUUUCAACAUGUUCUUAUGUAAAUGUUUCGUUGGUGCAAACUUACGGUUAAAUGUAAAAUACUUUUGGAAAAACAUUUUACCGGGAAAUAAAAUAUCAAUUAACUUUACAAUUUAACGUUUUUUAUUUUACUUGUUCGUUCAAGAACCUCUUCAAACCUUUUACUAGUUAUGAAUGUAGGUACUUUCACUGUUAUUGGUGGACAGCAACAGUCUUUUUUUAAUUUUUUUGGAUCGCCUAUAAUCUCCCCAUUUCUUCUCUUUCUAACCAAUGCAUCGUUCCUGCUUUCACUUUCAUUUGUUUUCAAAAAGUCUUCUUUUAACUGU
Maniola jurtina (meadow brown) is the source of this 571-nucleotide long non-coding RNA. RefSeq lists it as uncharacterized. Lineage: Eukaryota; Metazoa; Arthropoda; Insecta; Lepidoptera; Nymphalidae. The transcript has 2 exons. The record is from RefSeq and is a predicted model, not a curated record.